AUUGAACGCUAGCGGCAGGCCUAACACCUGCAAGUAAAACGAGUGGCGGACGGGUGAGUAAUGUCUGCGAAACUGCCUGAUGGGUGGGGAUCACUACAGGAAACGGCAGCUAAUACCGCAUACCAACGGAUGUGACCAAAGGGGAUUAGCUAGCAGGUGGGGUAAAGGCUCCCCUAGGCAACGAUACCUAGCUGGUCUGAGAGGAUGACCAGCCACACUGGAACUGAGACACGGUCCAGACUCCUACGGGAGGCAGGAGUGGGGAAUAUUGCACAAUGGGCGCAAGCCUGAUGCAGCCAUGCCGCGUGUAUGAAGAAGGCCUUCGGGUUGUAAAGUACUUUCAGCGGGGAGGCGUUACCCGCAGAAGAAGCACCGGCUAACUCCGUGCCAGCAGCCGCGGUAAUA
Molecule: ribosomal RNA, 405 nt
Filed under: uncultured bacterium
Lineage: Bacteria
Description: partial 16S ribosomal RNA
Rfam family: Bacterial small subunit ribosomal RNA
Source: RNAcentral